Molecule: ribosomal RNA, 478 nt
Filed under: uncultured bacterium
Lineage: Bacteria
Description: partial 16S ribosomal RNA
Rfam family: Bacterial small subunit ribosomal RNA
Source: RNAcentral
GACGAACGCUGGCGGCGUGCUUAACACAUGCAAGUCGAACGGUAAGGCCCUUCGGGGUACACGAGUGGCGAACGGGUGAGUAACACGUGGGUGAUCUGCCCUGCACUUCGGGAUAAGCCUGGGAAACUGGGUCUAAUACCGGAUAGGACUCCUGGCUUCAUGGGUGGGGGUGGAAAGCUUUUGCGGUGUGGGAUGGGCCCGCGGCCUAUCAGCUUGUUGGUGGGGUAAUGGCCUACCAAGGAGACGACGGGUAGCCGGCCUGAGAGGGUGACCGGUCACACUGGGACUGAGAUACGGCCCAGAGUCUUACGGGAGGCAGCGGUGGGGAAUAUUGCACAAGGGGCGCAAGCCUGAUGCAGCGACGCCGCGUGAGGGAUGACGGCCUUCGGGUUGUAAACCUCUUUCAGCUAUGACGAAGCGCAAGUGACGGUAGUAGCAGAAGAAGGACCGGCCAACUACGUGCCAGCCGCCGCCGUAA